RNAcentral lists this ribosomal RNA (465 nucleotides) under Vreelandella stevensii. RNAcentral's name for it is "partial 16S ribosomal RNA". It matches the Rfam family "Bacterial small subunit ribosomal RNA", at positions 338 to 795 of the family's 1533-position model. The record is from RNAcentral. Lineage: Bacteria; Pseudomonadati; Pseudomonadota; Gammaproteobacteria; Oceanospirillales; Halomonadaceae.
CCUACGGGCGGCAGCAGUGGGGAUUAUUGGACAAUGGGGGCAACCCUGAUCCAGCCAUGCCGCGUGUGUGAAGAAGGCCCUCGGGUUGUAAAGCACUUUCAGUGAGGAAGAACGCCUGGUGGUUAAUACCCAUCAGGAAAGACAUCACUCACAGAAGAAGCACCGGCUAACUCCGUGCCAGCAGCCGCGGUAAUACGGAGGGUGCGAGCGUUAAUCGGAAUUACUGGGCGUAAAGCGCGCGUAGGUGGCUUGAUAAGCCGGUUGUGAAAGCCCCGGGCUCAACCUGGGAACGGCAUCCGGAACUGUCAAGCUAGAGUGCAGGAGAGGAAGGUAGAAUUCCCGGUGUAGCGGUGAAAUGCGUAGAGAUCGGGAGGAAUACCAGUGGCGAAGGCGGCCUUCUGGACUGACACUGACACUGAGGUGCGAAAGCGUGGGUAGCAAACAGGAUUAGAUACCCGGGUAGUC